Molecule: ribosomal RNA, 239 nt
Filed under: uncultured bacterium
Lineage: Bacteria
Description: partial 16S ribosomal RNA
Rfam family: Bacterial small subunit ribosomal RNA
Source: RNAcentral
GAUCCUGGCUCGGGAUGAACGCUGACAGAAUGCUUAACACAUGCAAGUCUACUUGAACUUCGGUUUGGGUGGCGGACGGGUGAGUAACGCGUAAAGAACUUGCCUCACAGUUAGGGACAACAUUUGGAAACGAAUGCUAAUACCUGAUAUUAUGAUUUUAGGGCAUCCUAAGAUUAUGAAAGCUAUAUGCGCUGUGAGAGAGCUUUGCGUCCCAUUAGCUAGUUGGAGAGGUAACGGCU